CCUACGGGAGGCAGCAGUGGGGAAUAUUGGACAAUGGGGGGAACCCUGAUCCAGCGACGCCGCGUGAGUGAAGAAGUAUUUCGGUAUGUAAAGCUCUAUCAGCAGGGAAGAAAGAAAUGACGGUACCGGACCAAGAAGCCACGGCUAACUACGGGCCAGCAGCCGCGGGAAUACGUAGGGGGCAAGCGUUAUCCGGAUUGACUGGGUGUAAAGGGAGCGUAGACGGCGAGGCCAGUCUGAAGUGAAAGGCGGGGGCCCAACCCCCGGACUGCUUUGGAAACUGUAUGGCUGGAGUGCAGGAGAGGUAAGUGGAAUUCCUAGUGUCGCGGUGAAAUGCGUAGAUAUUAGGAGGAACCCCAGUGGCGAAGGCGGCUUACUGGACUGUAACUGACGUUGAGGCUCGAAAGCGUGGGGAGCAAACCGGAUUAGAUACCCGAGUAGUC
RNAcentral lists this ribosomal RNA (443 nucleotides) under uncultured bacterium. Its description in RNAcentral is "partial 16S ribosomal RNA". It matches the Rfam family "Bacterial small subunit ribosomal RNA", at positions 338 to 795 of the family's 1533-position model. The record is from RNAcentral.